GAUGAACGCUGGCGGCGUGCCUAAUACAUGCAAGUCGAGCGAACAGACGAGGAGCUUGCUCCUCUGACGUUAGCGGCGGACGGGUGAGUAACACGUGGAUAACCUACCUAUAAGACUGGGAUAACUUCGGGAAACCGGAGCUAAUACCGGAUAAUAUAUUGAACCGCAUGGUUCAAUAGUGAAAGACGGUUUUGCGGUCACUUAUAGAUGGAUCCGCGCCGCAUUAGCUAGUUGGUAAGGUAACGGCUUACCAAGGCAACGAUGCGUAGCCGACCUGAGAGGGUGAUCGGCCACACUGGAACUGAGACACGGUCCAGACUCCUACGGGAGGCAGCAGUAGGGAAUCUUCCGCAAUGGGCGAAAGCCUGACGGAGCAACGCCGCGUGAAUGAUGAAGGUCUUCGGAUCGUAAAACUCUGUUAUUAGGGAAGAACAAAUGUGUAAGUAACUAUGCACGUCUUGACGGUACCUAAUCAGAAAGCCACGGCUAACUACGU
RNAcentral lists this ribosomal RNA (496 nucleotides) under uncultured bacterium. Its description in RNAcentral is "partial 16S ribosomal RNA". It matches the Rfam family "Bacterial small subunit ribosomal RNA", at positions 28 to 506 of the family's 1533-position model. The record is from RNAcentral.